This 253-nucleotide ribosomal RNA is filed under the name uncultured bacterium. RNAcentral describes it as "partial 16S ribosomal RNA". It matches the Rfam family "Bacterial small subunit ribosomal RNA", at positions 524 to 776 of the family's 1533-position model. The record is from RNAcentral.
UACGUAGGUGACUAGCGUUGUCCGGAUUUACUGGGCGUAAAGAGCGCGCAGGCGGUCGUUCAAGUCGAGUGUGAAAGCCCCCGGCUCAACUGGGGAGGGUCAUUCGAUACUGAUCGACUCGAAGGCAGGAGAGGGAAGCGGAAUUCCCGGUGUAGCGGUGAAAUGCGCAGAUAUCAGGAGGAACACCGAUGGCGAAGGCAGGUCUCUGGGCUGAUACUGACGCUCAUGCACGAAAGCGUGGGGAGCAAACAGG